This 503-nucleotide ribosomal RNA is filed under the name uncultured bacterium. RNAcentral describes it as "partial 16S ribosomal RNA". It matches the Rfam family "Bacterial small subunit ribosomal RNA", at positions 30 to 523 of the family's 1533-position model. The record is from RNAcentral.
AUUGAACGCUGGCGGCAGGCUUAACACAUGCAAGUCGAGCGGGGUGAUGGUGCUUGCACUAUCACUUAGCGGCGGACGGGCGAGUAAUGCUUAGGAAUCUGCCUAUUAGUGGGGGACAACAUCUCGAAAGGGAUGCUAAUACCGCAUACGUCCUACGGGAGAAAGCAGGGGAUCACUUGUGACCUUGCGCUAAUAGAUGAGCCUAAGUCGGAUUAGCUAGUUGGUGGGGUAAAGGCCUACCAAGGCGACGAUCUGUAGCGGGUCUGAGAGGAUGAUCCGCCACACUGGGACUGAGACACGGCCCAGACUCCUCCGGGAGGCAGCAGUGGGGAAUAUUGGACAAUGGGGGGAACCCUGAUCCAGCCAUGCCGCGUGUGUGAAGAAGGCCUUAUGGUUGUAAAGCACUUUAAGCGAGGAGGAGGCUCUUUUGGUUAAUACCCAAGAUGAGUGGACGUUACUCGCAGAAUAAGCACCGGCUAACUCUGUGCCAGCAGCCGCAGUAA